UAUUAAUGAAUCAUAAAUGUUAUGCAUAGUAUGACAGGGCCACUUUCAGCAAGCUCAGCAAGGAAGAAGCCAAUAAGGUUCAGGAACUGAAGCAGUUGAAGGGAGAAGAGCUUGAAGGAUUGAAUAUAAAUGAAUUACAGAAGCUGUUGAGGGCAAUUAGAAGGAGGUUUGAAACGUGUUGUCAGGGCAAAGGAUGACCUAAUGUUGAAAGAGAUCGAUGCGCUCAAGAGAAAGAGAAUCCAAUUGGUGGUAGAGAAUCAGCGAUUAAAGCAGGUGAGGAAUCGUUCACAAGAACAAGGAGGUCAGUCGUCUGAGUCAGCCAACAUUGGCAGCAUAUUUGAUCCUCCAUACGAUGAUGAUAGUUCAGACACUUCUCUCAGAUUGGGAUUGUCUUUAUUUAAAUGAGAAAAGGAAGGGGGGGGGGGGGGAGACGAUGAGGCACUAUAGAGCAGAACCAGAUACUCUUGAGGUUAUCAUUCUUGCGGGUGAAAUUUAACCAAUGCAGGAGUUUUUUUUCCCAUUAUUUCAUAAGAAUUUAAGUUUGCUUUUAAUCUGUAAGUAAGUAGGUAUUGAUUACAUAAAUUGACCAAAUGAGCAUAUAUAUAUAUAUAUAUAUAUAUAUAUAUAGAUAUAUUAUAUUCAUGGAUCCAAUGGUGUUGUGCUUGAAUUCCAAAGUCAUGUAUAAAAAGGGCCCAAUGCUCGGCCUUAAUGUGCCGUAGCUUCAUUCACCCGCUGUAGUGGUGGUUAUUUGAUAUAUUCCAUACGAAAAAAAA
Molecule: long non-coding RNA, 773 nt
Organism: Neltuma alba
Lineage: Eukaryota; Viridiplantae; Streptophyta; Magnoliopsida; Fabales; Fabaceae
Exons: 6
Source: RefSeq, a predicted model, not a curated record